GAUGAACGCUGGCGGCGUGCCUAAUACAUGCAAGUCGAGCGAACAGACGAGGAGCUUGCUCCUCUGACGUUAGCGGCGGACGGGUGAGUAACACGUGGAUAACCUACCUAUAAGACUGGGAUAACUUCGGGAAACCGGAGCUAAUACCGGAUAAUAUAUUGAACCGCAUGGUUCAAUAGUGAAAGACGGUUUUGCUGUCACUUAUAGAUGGAUCCGCGCCGCAUUAGCUAGUUGGUAAGGUAACGGCUUACCAAGGCAACGAUGCGUAGCCGACCUGGGAGGGGGAUCGGCCACACUGGAACUGAGCCGCGGUCCAGGCUCCUACGGGAGGCCGCAGUAGGGAAUCUUCCGCAAUGGGCGAAAGCCUGACGGAGCAACGCCGCGUGAGUGAUGAAGGUCUUCGGAUCGUAAAACUCUGUUAUGAGGGAAGAACAAAUGUGUAAGUAACUAUGCACGUCUUGACGGUAACUAAUCAGAAAGCCCCGGCUAACUACGUG
This 497-nucleotide ribosomal RNA is filed under the name uncultured bacterium. Its description in RNAcentral is "partial 16S ribosomal RNA". It matches the Rfam family "Bacterial small subunit ribosomal RNA", at positions 28 to 507 of the family's 1533-position model. The record is from RNAcentral.